CUGGGCUCGAAGCGCAGUGGAAUGAGGUGGAAACAUCUCAGCCCGCAAGGGCCGCUGCGGAGGUGCUGCAUGGCUGUCGUCAGCUCGUGUCGUGAGAUGUUGGGUUAAGUCCCGCAACGAGCGCAACCCUUAUCGUCAGUUGCCAUCGGGUCAAGCCGGGCACUCUGGCGAAGCCGCCUCGGAUAACGGGGAGGAAGGUGGGGAUGACGUCAAGUCCUCAUGGCCUUUAUGUCCAGGGCUACACACGUGCUACAAUGGUCGGUACAAACCGUCGCAAACCCGCGAGGGGGAGCUAAUCGGAAAAAGCCGGCCUCAGUUCGGAUUGGAGUCUGCAACUCGACUGCGUGAAGCUGGAAUCCUUAGUAAUCGCGGAUCAUCAUGCCGCGGUGAAUACGUUCCC
This 400-nucleotide ribosomal RNA is filed under the name uncultured bacterium. RNAcentral describes it as "bacterial SSU rRNA". It matches the Rfam family "Bacterial small subunit ribosomal RNA", at positions 975 to 1375 of the family's 1533-position model. The record is from RNAcentral.